AAAAAAGAAUGAUAGAAAACAGUGGAUUCUUCGGGGGAUCAUGUACUCUCCUGCUUUGUCACUCUUUUACUUGCUUUCUGUUUCACUUCUCAGAUCUUCACUAAGCAUUUGGAGUUUUACAGCUCAUCAUAUUAAAGUUAGUUAAGGAAAAAAGAAGAAAAGGGGUUAGUUUUUCAGCAGCAUGGUGUUGGUUGAGCUUACAAAAAAGCCCCUAUCAUUUUGGAUGGAUUUUAACUGUGUUGUGGAUCUAAUUGUUUUUAACUUCAAGCUACACUAAAUUCUUUGAUCACCGUUACACCACACUGAUGAAAAGUAAAUCUACAUAUUUGAUGUAUUCUUACAACCAAGAAGUGAAAUAAUUGAGGAGCUAAUAUGGACUACAAUUAUUAAAAGAAGGAAUAAAAUUCAAGUGAUCUCACCAAGCUAUAAUUAUGUGGGCAGAAAGAGUGAUAUGGGAGAAUCACAUUCUUCAGACCACCCGUCUAUCUCGCACAGGCAGACAGAGCACGUCAUGGGUCCUGUCUCCCAAAAUUGGAGAAAUUGGAGAAAUUCUUCAGGAAAUUGGAGGAGAAUGAAGUCCCUCUACCUGUUUGCACCUCCUGUCAUAUAUCAUUCUCUGAAUUCUAGGAAUUCCUCUUCAGGUAAAAGAAUAGUGAGAACUUCCCCCUGUCAUUAGCACUAAGAUACUAAAUCACCCCUUGUUGACAUUCCUAAACACCAUCCACACAUUUAUAAUGGCCUCUUCAUUAAACUCUCC
Molecule: long non-coding RNA, 757 nt
Filed under: Felis catus (domestic cat)
Lineage: Eukaryota; Metazoa; Chordata; Mammalia; Carnivora; Felidae
Description: lncRNA (ENSFCAG00000045091.2)
Source: RNAcentral